Molecule: non-coding RNA, 425 nt
Organism: Cinara cedri
Lineage: Eukaryota; Metazoa; Arthropoda; Insecta; Hemiptera; Aphididae
Source: the annotation of a GenBank genome assembly
UUCUUCAAUAUGGUAUAUUUAUAAUUGGAAUCUUCCAUAUUAUACAGAAUCUAAUUGUUCUGUACCUCACGUAUGAGAAUUUCAUCUUCAGAUGCAAAGAAAACCAAAGUUGAUGCGGUUGGAAUUUUAAACAAUAUUCAAACCGUAUGUCACGCUAUUACAAAUAGUUUCUAUGCAUUUAUGUUUUCUGUGCAAAGAUUAAAAGUUCGGUCGCGCUAAACAAACUAGUUCAUACAGUUUUAAUAAAAUCACAAGUUGGCGACUUGUCGUAGUUGCAACAUGUUAUGCCUAGCGAACUGUACCUUAACGGCGUCACGUAUCGGCUAUUGCUUAUUGCAUCAUUAUUUACAAGUUAAUUCUGUUAAUCUUAUCUUUUGUUACUCUGUUGAAUUAACUACGUGCUCGUGUACCUUUUCUGCUUCGUC